UUUUUAUAAGGAAAACUACGGAAAAGCUGUAGCUAAUACUUGCUUUAUUAUCCUUUGAUUUUUAUCUUUGGAUAAGUAUUUGUUAGGCCUUAUAAGAAAAAAGUUAUUAACUUAAGGAAUUAUAACAAAGAAGUAACACGUAAUAAAUUUAUUUUAUUUAGUGUGUAUCAAUCGAGUUUCUGACCUAUCAGCUUUUGAUGUUAGGGUAUUGGCCUAACAUGCUAUGACGGGUA
This 233-nucleotide ribosomal RNA is filed under the name Plasmodium falciparum (malaria parasite P. falciparum). RNAcentral describes it as "partial small subunit ribosomal RNA". It matches the Rfam family "Eukaryotic small subunit ribosomal RNA", at positions 132 to 361 of the family's 1831-position model. The record is from RNAcentral. Lineage: Eukaryota; Apicomplexa; Aconoidasida; Haemosporida; Plasmodiidae.